UACGAAGGGGGCUAGCGUUGCUCGGAAUUACUGGGCGUAAAGGGCUCGUAGGCGGCCAACUAAGUCAGACGUGAAAUCCCUCGGCUUAACCGGGGAACUGCGUCUGAUACUGGAUGGCUUGAGUUCGGGAGAGGGAUGCGGAAUUCCAGGUGUAGCGGUGAAAUUCGUAGAUAUUCGCAAGAACACCAGUGGCGAAGGCGGCUUACUGGACCGGUUCUGACGCUGAGGCGCGAAAGCGUGGGGAGCAAACAGG
Molecule: ribosomal RNA, 253 nt
Filed under: uncultured bacterium
Lineage: Bacteria
Description: partial 16S ribosomal RNA
Rfam family: Bacterial small subunit ribosomal RNA
Source: RNAcentral